This 343-nucleotide ribosomal RNA is filed under the name uncultured fungus. RNAcentral's name for it is "eukaryotic LSU rRNA". The stretch from base 1 to 126 matches the Rfam family "5.8S ribosomal RNA", at positions 30 to 154 of the family's 154-position model. The record is from RNAcentral. Lineage: Eukaryota; Fungi.
GCAUCGAUGAAGAACGCAGCGAAAUGCGAUAAGUAGUGUGAAUUGGCAGAAUUCAGUGAAUCAUCGAAUCUUUGAACGCACAUUGCGCCCCUNGGUAUUCCGGGGGGCAUGCCUGUUCGAGCGUCAUCUACACCCUCAAGCUCUGCUUGGUGUUGGGCGUCUGUCCCGCCUCAGCGCGCGGACUCGCCCCAAAUCCAUUGGCAGCGGUCCUUGCCUCCUCUCGCGCAGCACAUUGCGCUUCUCGAGGGGCUCCGGCCCGCGUCCAACAAGAAAACAUUACCGUCUUUGACCUCGGAUCAGGUAGGGAUACCCGCUGAACUUAAGCAUAUCAAUAAGCGGAGGA